Molecule: ribosomal RNA, 1472 nt
Filed under: Priestia flexa
Lineage: Bacteria; Bacillati; Bacillota; Bacilli; Caryophanales; Bacillaceae
Description: bacterial SSU rRNA
Rfam family: Bacterial small subunit ribosomal RNA
Source: RNAcentral
GUUAAGAAGGCUGCCUUCUACAUGCAAGUCGAAAGGACUGAUUAGAAGCUUGCUUCUAUGACGUUAGCGGCGGACGGGUGAGUAACACGUGGGCAACCUGCCUGUAAGACUGGGAUAACUUCGGGAAACCGAAGCUAAUACCGGAUAGGAUCUUCUCCUUCAUGGGAGAUGAUUGAAAGAUGGUUUCGGCUAUCACUUACAGAUGGGCCCGCGGUGCAUUAGCUAGUUGGUGAGGUAACGGCUCACCAAGGCAACGAUGCAUAGCCGACCUGAGAGGGUGAUCGGCCACACUGGGACUGAGACACGGCCCAGACUCCUACGGGAGGCAGCAGUAGGGAAUCUUCCGCAAUGGAAGAAAGUCAGACGGAGCAACGCCGCGUGAGUGAUGAAGGCUAUCGGGUCGUAAAACUCUGUUGGUGGGGAAGAACAAGUACGAGAAUAACUGCUCGUACCCUGACGGUACCUAACCAGAAAGCCACGGCUAACUACGUGCCAGCAGCCGCGGUAAUACGUAGGUGGCAAGCGUUAUCAGAAAUUAUUGGGCGUAAAGCGCGCGCAGGCCGUUUCUUAAGUCUGAUGUGAAAGCCCACGGCUCAACCGUGGAGGGUCAUUGGAAACUGGGGAACUUGAGUGCAGAAGAGAAAAGCGGAAUUCCACGUGUAGCGGUGAAAUGCGUAGAGAUGUGAAGGAACACCAAUGGAGAAGGCGGCUUUUUGGUCUGUAACUGACGCUGAGGCGCGAAAGCGUGGGGAGCAAACAGGACUACAUACCCUGGUACUCCACGCCCUAAACGAUGAGCGCUAAGUGUUAGAGGGUUUCCGCCCUUUAGUGCUGCAGCUAACGCAUUAAGCACUCCGCCUGGGGAGUACGGUCGCAAGACUGAAACUCAAAGGAAUUGACGGGGGCCCGCACAAGCCGUCGACCAUAUGGUUUAAUUCGAAGCAACGCCAAGAACCUUACCAGGCCUGGACAUCCUCUGACAACUCUAGAGAUAGAGCGGUCCCCUUCGGGGGACAGAAUGACAGGUCGUGCAUGGUUGUCCUCAGCUCGUGUCGUGAGAUGUUGGGUUAAGUCCCGCAACGAGCGCAACCCUUGAUCUAACUUGACCUAGCAUCUAGUCGGGAACAAUACUAAGGUCACAUGCCGGUCGACAAACAGGAGGAAGGUGGGGAUCACGUCAAAUACAUCAUGCCCCUUAUGACCUGGGCUACACACGUGCUACAAUGGAUGGUACAAAGGGCUGCAAGACCGCGAGGUCAAGCCAAUCCCAUAAAACCAUUCUCAGUUCGGAUUGUAGGCUGCAACUCGCCUACAUGAAGCUGGAAUCGCUAGUAAUCGCGGAUCAGCAUGCCGCGGUGAAUACGUUCCCGGGCCUUGUACACACCGCCCGUCACACCACGAGAGUUUGUAACACCCGAAGUCGGUGGAGUAACCGUAAGGAGCUAUCCGCCUAAGGUAGGACAGAUGAUUGG